This 465-nucleotide ribosomal RNA is filed under the name uncultured bacterium. RNAcentral's name for it is "partial 16S ribosomal RNA". It matches the Rfam family "Bacterial small subunit ribosomal RNA", at positions 339 to 795 of the family's 1533-position model. The record is from RNAcentral.
CUACGGGGUGCUCCAGUCGAGAAUCAUUCGCAAUGCGCGAAAGCGUGACGAUGCGACGCUGCGUGGAGGAUGAAGGCCCUCGGGUCGUAAACUCCUGUCAGGAGGGAAAAGCCGGCACUUGGUCAAUACCCUUGUGCCCCGAUGGUACCUCCAGAGGAAGCCACGGCUAACUCUGUGCCAGCAGCCGCGGUAAUACAGAGGUGGCGAGCGUUGUUCGGAUUUACUGGGCGUAAAGGGUGCGUAGGCGGCGUGCAAAGCUGGAUGUGAAAUCCCGGGGCUCAACCCCGGAACUGCAUCCGGAACUGGCAUGCUAGAGACCAGGAGGGGAGAGCAGAAUUCUAGGUGUAGCGGUGAAAUGCGUUGAUAUCUAGAAGAAUACCGGUGGCGAAGGCGGCUCUCUGGAAUGGUUCUGACGCUGAGGCACGAAAGCGUGGGGAGCAAACAGGAUUAGAUACCCGGGUAGUC